GAUGAACGCUGGCGGCGUGCCUAAUACAUGCAAGUCGAGCGAACGGACGAGAAGCUUGCUUCUCUGAUGUUAGCGGCGGACGGGUGAGUAACACGUGGAUAACCUACCUAUAAGACUGGGAUAACUUCGGGAAACCGGAGCUAAUACCGGAUAAUAUUUUGAACCGCAUGGUUCAAAAGUGAAAGACGGUCUUGCUGUCACUUAUAGAUGGAUCCGCGCUGCAUUAGCUAGUUGGUAAGGUAACGGCUUACCAAGGCAACGAUGCAUAGCCGACCUGAGAGGGUGAUCGGCCACACUGGAACUGAGACACGGUCCAGACUCCUACGGGAGGCAGCAGUAGGGAAUCUUCCGCAAUGGGCGAAAGCCUGACGGAGCAACGCCGCGUGAGUGAUGAAGGUCUUCGGAUCGUAAAACUCUGUUAUUAGGGAAGGACAUAUGUGUAAGUAACUGUGCACAUCUUGACGGUACCUAAUCAGAAAGCCACGGCUAACUACGUGCCAGCAGCCGCGGUAAUACGUAGGUGGCAAGCGUUAUCCGGAAUUAUUGGGCGUAAAGCGCGCGUAGGCGGUUUUUUAAGUCUGAUGUGAAAGCCCACGGCUCAACCGUGGAGGGUCAUUGGAAACUGGAAAACUUGAGUGCAGAAGAGGAAAGUGGAAUUCCAUGUGUAGCGGUGAAAUGCGCAGAGAUAUGGAGGAACACCAGUGGCGAAGGCGACUUUCUGGUCUGUAACUGACGCUGAUGUGCGAAAGCGUGGGGAUCAAACAGG
Molecule: ribosomal RNA, 766 nt
Filed under: Staphylococcus aureus
Lineage: Bacteria; Bacillati; Bacillota; Bacilli; Caryophanales; Staphylococcaceae
Description: bacterial SSU rRNA
Rfam family: Bacterial small subunit ribosomal RNA
Source: RNAcentral